UGCCGGCGACCGGCGCACGGGUGAGUAACACGUAUGCGACCGUGCCCCCGCAGGGGGAUAACCGGGAGAAAUCCCGACUAAUACCGCGUAACGCCGCGGACCUGCAUGGGUCUGCGGCCAAAGGAAGCGAUUCCGGCGGGGGAUGGGCAUGCGGCGCAUUAGCUAGUCGGCGGGGUAACGGCCCACCGAGGCGACGAUGCGUAGGGGUUCUGAGAGGAAGGUCCCCCACACUGGUACUGAGACACGGACCAGACUCCUACGGAAGGCAGCAG
RNAcentral lists this ribosomal RNA (272 nucleotides) under uncultured bacterium. RNAcentral describes it as "partial 16S ribosomal RNA". It matches the Rfam family "Bacterial small subunit ribosomal RNA", at positions 86 to 354 of the family's 1533-position model. The record is from RNAcentral.